This 486-nucleotide ribosomal RNA is filed under the name uncultured bacterium. Its description in RNAcentral is "partial 16S ribosomal RNA". It matches the Rfam family "Bacterial small subunit ribosomal RNA", at positions 28 to 507 of the family's 1533-position model. The record is from RNAcentral.
GAUGAACGCUAGCGGCAGGCUUAACACAUGCAAGUCGAGGGGCAGCGCGGGAUAGCAAUAUCCUGGCGGCGACCGGCGGACGGGUGCGUAACGCGUGAGCGACAUGCCCGUUGCCCGGGGACAACCGGUGGAAACGCCGACUAAUCCCCGAUGGGAUAUUGUGCCGCAUGGCACGAUAUUGAAAGUUACGGCGGCGACGGAUUGGCUCGCGUCCGAUUAGCUUGUUGGCGGGGUAACGGCCCACCAAGGCUGCGAUCGGUAGGGGUUCUGAGAGGAAGGCCCCCCACAAUGGGACGGAGACACGGCCCAUACUCCGACGGGAGGCAGCAGUGAGGAAUAUGGGUCAAUGGGCGGAAGCCUGAACCAGCCAUGCCGCGUGCGGGAAGGAGGCCCUAUGGGCUGUGAACCGCUUUUGCCUGGGGGCAAUAAGGGCGUCGCGCACGUCCGAUGAGAGUACCAGGCGAAUAAGCAUCGGCUAACUCCGUG